GGAAGUAAAAGCCGUAACAAGGUCUCCGUUGGUGAACCAGCGGAGGGAUCAUUACAGGACUCGCAAGACUCCUACAACCCUGUGAACUUAACUAUAAGCACGUUGCUUCGGCGGGUGUCUCGGAGGGGGUUCUCCCUCCCCGAGACGCUAAACCCGCCGGCAGCCUACUAUACUCUGUCUCUUUGCGUUGGCAUCUCGAGUACAAUCAAACAAGUUAAAACUUUCAACAACGGAUCUCUUGGUUCUG
Molecule: unclassified non-coding RNA, 247 nt
Filed under: plant metagenome
Description: partial contains small subunit ribosomal RNA, internal transcribed spacer 1, and 5.8S ribosomal RNA
Rfam family: Eukaryotic small subunit ribosomal RNA (bases 1-54)
Source: RNAcentral